This 3445-nucleotide long non-coding RNA is filed under the name Selaginella moellendorffii. RNAcentral's name for it is "long non-coding RNA (SMOE_LNC000980)". Lineage: Eukaryota; Viridiplantae; Streptophyta; Lycopodiopsida; Selaginellales; Selaginellaceae. The record is from RNAcentral.
GAUUUGAGCCAUACAUUAACAUCCACAUUACCUAUACGAUCUUGCGACAUUGGAGAGGGGCAAACCUGGAUCAAUGGGAUUUAGGAGUUAUAUGCAAACAAGAUUCGAAAGGAAUCAUUGAAAAACAAUGCCUGGCCCUGUUGCUGCGAUGCCUUACCACGAACGCCUUGAGUUGACACUACUACGUUGUCCGGAAGAGGUUCCCAGCAGUUGUCGGCCUCCUUUUUUGUGGACCCGUGAUUCCACACCACCUUUUCCCCCUUUUUGAGCUAGCAAUGCCCGCUCACAAUUGCGAUCGUUCGUCGGUUGAUCCUGAUACUAGCAUUUGGGGCAAUUCGAUCGAUCGAUGACACAAAGCUCACUGGAGAUCCUGUGCUCCUCUGAAGAGAGGAUAAAAAAAAAUCAAGUCUUUAAAAGAAGAAACCACAAGGAAAACAAAAAAUUCCUAGAAACUCUGCUGUUCUAAGUGGGAUGGAGAUGGAUCCAGUGAAAGAAAAGUGAAAAGGAACCAAAGCGAAGGGAAAGAACGCAUUUUUACUUGAACACAGCUGCCGGCUUAUCGAUCGAUCGACGACGAGGACGGUAAAAUAGCCAAAAGAGAAUGAUCUGUCCAUCGUCACGAACUGGGAGAGAUCUGGAGGGAGUCUCCAAUCCAAAUCAGAGCAGUGAGAGCGAGCGAGGACAAAUCUACGCACACCAAUGUAGGAGCAAAUCGAGAGAGAGGAGUGGGAGAGUGUCAAGAGGCAGGAAGUGUGCCAGGAUCAACCGGCGAGUUGUUUAUGUGAGAUUGCAGGUGUUGUCAAGCCAGAACCGGAGGACGUGAGAGGAGCAUGAGUCGUGUUUGAGAAGAUUGUGUUGAUAAUGGAUAUUUGGGAAAUUAUUGGUGGUUAGGCGGAAACGGGAAGCCAUUAGCUGGGGGAAUAUUUGGAGGUUGGAACAGACGAGUUUGGCUGCGAGCAAUGGAGAGGGUAGGUAAAACAUCAGCAGUUUGGAGCACCGAGGCAACAUCCCAAUGGAGACCGAGUAACCUGGAAUUUGCAGAUUAGGCGCAUGGUUCAACAGUUGAAUAUCCAGGUGGAGCAAAUGGUCGCAACCACGUGUCCCACUUGUGGCCAAGCUUGGUACCGAGCCAUGAGGGAGUUGCUCCAAGAACUGCUCGCGUCUAAUCCCCUAGAACAACAGCAGGGAGAGAGUGGUAUGAGUGAGAAGGGUAUGAAUAAAGAAGGGUUUUUUCCCUGUUAUUUCCUGUGUUCCAGUCAUGGUGUGAGUAUGGACUACAAAAUGGUGCGUUAGCCGGGAGCCUAUCUCAAGUAGCACAGAAGGGGCAGCCGCCCCUGUGGAAAGAGGAGGCUGUUGAGCUGACACCUAGAAUAGGAGUAUUAUCAAUUCAGUUAGGAAAUAAAAGAGAAGCAGAAGCAGAGUAGGAAAGAAAGAUACCUGAAACGCAGGGAAUCAAGUACCCCGUGGAAUAGCCCAGAGAAACUGACACCGGAGCAGCCAGAAGGUUCGGAGGAAGAAGAGGAGUGGGGAAGGUUUCAGGACUCGCAACCCUCGGCACCCCCAGGUUCCCUGGAACCAGAAGUAGGGCCUUUGGUCUCGCCAAGUGGAUCGGAUUCAUCAAAAACUGAGACAACCCCUCCGUCCUCUCCAACCCCUCAAGCCCCUCUUGUAACUGCAAUGGCUCAACUAGCACUAUCAGGAGGAAGGGAAAAAUAUUCAAAGUUCAUGAACCUGAGCAAUCUAGACUCUCACAUCACAGCCUUUGAAGUAGUGAGCACGGCAAAUCAAGAACAAGCAGACGCACUGCUGCUGAGAUGGUUUCCAACAACACUCUCCAGACCAGCCAUGGAUUGGUAUGCACAGGUGACGUCAGGUGUGGCACUGGCAUUUGUGACCUGGGAUGCAAUGAAGAGGGCCUUUUUGACUCAGUUCUGACCAUUUGGGUUCAGCACCAGAAUCACGGAGGAGCUCAACUUGAUCCAUUUGCUCCCGGGAGAGACCUACAGGAUUACACCUGCAGAUAUUGAGCUCUCCUGCAGCGAAAGCACCCUGCGCCUCUUGCAGAAGAUCAAGUGAGGUGUUACCUCAAUGGCUUGCCAUACGAAAUCAGCUUUCAUGUGAAGAUUCAUCGGCCAACCGAUCUCAAUGCAGCGGUGGAGCAUGUGGCUACCUGGGAGCAAGCGAGACUGGGAUCAAGAUCGUCGCUGACACCCGCGACUUACCCGAGUAUGCUGGCAGGGGUGCAAUACAUGCCUGCGAUGCAGACCACCCGUCUUCCAGCAGUGCCAGCAGCACCACCAUUGUCCCUGCCAGUGACCAAUUCCAAUCUACAAGGUUUUGAGGCUCAGUUAGCCAAGGUGAAAGAAGACGUGGUCGAAACCCUCACCAAGCAGAUGGCCAAGUUGCAGGUGAACCUAGUGAGGGGUCAAGGUGGUGUUCAGCCUCAAAAAGUGGUCGACAGGCCGGAAAUCUGGUGCGUAAGGUGCAAGGGGUACGGGCAUUACCCAAGUGAGUGUCUAAAUCCCCAAGCAGCUCAUCCACAGUGUGGGUAUUGUUGUUGAGCCAACCAUACCACUGAGAAUUGCUUUGCUCGGAUGAGGGAUAUGCAGCAACUAGUUGGGCCCACUAUCGCACAGCCCAUCUACCCCACACUUCAGUCUUCAAUGGAGGUUCCGAGCUAUUACGCUCAACCCCAGUUACCGGCAGUGCAGCAGGUGUCAUACCCAGUCUAUGCCUUGGAGCCGACCCAACAAUCCGGGCCUCGGCCACCAUCCUAGUUUCCGGCAACCGGAGGUUGGGGUCAGAAGCCAAAAUUGCAGAUCAUUUGCUACUGCUGCCACGAGCAAGGACACAUCACACCGCACUGUCUGAAUCCCUAGAAACAUGAGGAGUAUCGACCCAUUUGUGGAAUUUGUCAAACCCAGGGGCUACACACACAGGAUCAGUGUCUAUACCACUUGUAGAACACCAGUCAAGGAGUGAAUCAACCACCGCCAGCAGCUGAUCAGGGCAAGCGAGUGGUAGAUAGUAAGGCGAUCUUUGUAGCGGCAGAGGAUCUGCAAGAAGGAGCCGGCGUACCUACACUCAGUAUGGAGACUCGAGCCAGAUACAAGCAACAGGCACAAGGAGUGUACGGGGCAGAUCCAAGCCAGGCUUUUGGUGAGGACUCGGAGGUGAUCGCCAGGAGAAAUCGCCGUGCCACCCGUGAGAAAAGAGUGGCGGAGUUUGCAGAUCGCCAGUCAAUGGAAGUGUCAUUGGACGUUGGGAAUGCUGGCGUGAACAGACCAGAUGGUGCCAUGCGCCCAUCAUUGCCAAGCCCUCAGGAGAAAUCCAAUUUUGCUCAAGUCCUGAGAAAGCGGGAUUGUCAAAGCCGAUCAGGCUGCAGGAUCAGAUCCAAGAGGUGAGAGGCAGUGUGAAUCCCUGGAGAGCAGUGUAUAAUAUUGAC